RNAcentral lists this ribosomal RNA (464 nucleotides) under uncultured bacterium. RNAcentral describes it as "partial 16S ribosomal RNA". It matches the Rfam family "Bacterial small subunit ribosomal RNA", at positions 29 to 507 of the family's 1533-position model. The record is from RNAcentral.
ACGAACGCUGGCGGCGUGCUUAACACCUGCAAGUCGAACGGAAAGGCCCUGCUUGCAGGGUACUCGAGUGGCGAACGGGUGAGUAACACGUGGGUGAUCUGCCCUGCACUUCGGGAUAAGCCUGGGAAACUGGGUCUAAUACCGGAUAGGAGCCAUUUUUAGUGUGAUGGUUGGAAAGUUUUUUCGGUGUAGGAUGAGCUCGCGGCCUAUCAGCUUGUUGGUGGGGUAAUGGCCUACCAAGGCGGCGACGGGUAGCCGGCCUGAGAGGGUGGACGGCCACAUUGGGACUGAGAUACGGCCCAGACGCCUACGGGAGGCAGCAGUGGGGAAUAUUGCACAAUGGGCGCAAGCCUGAUGCAGCGACGCCGCGUGGGGGAUGACGGCCUUCGGGUUGUAAACUCCUUUCGCUAGGGACGAAGCUUUUUGUGACGGUACCUAGAUAAGAAGCACCGGCUAACUACGUG